AUUGAACGCUGGCGGCAUGCCUUACACAUGCAAGUCGAACGGCAGCACGGGCUUCGGUCUGGUGGCGAGUGGCGAACGGGUGAGUAAUAUAUCGGAACAUACCCUAGAGUGGGGGAUAACGUAGCGAAAGUUACGCUAAUACCGCAUACGAACUAAGGUUGAAAGUGGGGGAUCGCAAGACCUCAUGCUCAUGGAGUGGCCGAUAUCUGAUUAGCUAGUUGGUGAGGUAAAGGCUCACCAAGGCGACGAUCAGUAGCUGGUUUGAGAGAACGACCAGCCACACUGGAACUGAGACAUGGUCCAGACUCCUACGGAGGCAGCAGUGGGGAAUUUUGGACAAUGGGCGCAAGCCUGAUCCAGCAAUGCCGCGUGAGUGAAGAAGGCCUCGGUUGUAAG
This 396-nucleotide ribosomal RNA is filed under the name uncultured bacterium. RNAcentral describes it as "bacterial SSU rRNA". It matches the Rfam family "Bacterial small subunit ribosomal RNA", at positions 30 to 429 of the family's 1533-position model. The record is from RNAcentral.